GUAGUAGCAAAUACUCCAGCGAGACCCUAGAGGACUGAGGCGGGGAAGGGUUUCGUGUGAACAGCUGUUGCACACGAGUCAGUCGAUGCUGAGCCCUAGGAGAAGUCCGAGGAAUUGCGGGCACAAGGCCCCCGCGGGCGAAAGAGAAUCCGGUCCCUAUUCCGGAACCCGGUCGCGGAACCGUCUCACGUCGGGCCCCCCGCCCUCGCGGCGGGAAGCUCGUCGGGGUAACCCAAACUGACCCGGAGAAGCCGUUGGGAGGUCGGGGAAGAGUUUUCUUUUCUGUUUGAGCGUUCGGGUUCCCUGGAAUUGCCUAGAGCAGAGAGAGGGAAUGGAGCGCGAAGAGCACCGCAGUUGCGGCGGUGUCCCGGCAUGCCCAUCGGACCUUGAAAAUCCGGGGACGGGCCACGUGGAGGUAUCGCGCCGGAUCGUACCCAUAUCCGCAGCAGGUCUCCAAGGUUAAGAGCCUCUAGCCGGUAGAUUAAUGUAGGUAAGGGAAGUCGGCAAAUCGGAUCCGUAACUUCGGAACAAGGAU
Molecule: ribosomal RNA, 535 nt
Filed under: Orocharis aff. lividus ICCM-2015
Lineage: Eukaryota; Metazoa; Arthropoda; Insecta; Orthoptera; Gryllidae
Description: eukaryotic LSU rRNA
Rfam family: Eukaryotic large subunit ribosomal RNA
Source: RNAcentral